GACGAACGCUGGCGGCGUGCCUAAUACAUGCAAGUCGAGCGGAGCGGCGGACGGGUGAGUAAUGCCUAGGAAUCUGCCUGGUAGUGGGGGAUAACGUCCGGAAACGGGCGCUAAUACCGCAUACUCUCAGAUGAGCCUAGGUCGGAUUAGCUAGUUGGUGGGGUAAAGGCCUACCAAGGCGACGAUGCGUAACUGGUCUGAGAGGAUGAUCAGUCACAGUGGAACUGAGAGACGGUCCAGAAUCCUACGGGAGGAAGCAGUGGGGAAUAUUGGACAAUGGGCGAAAGCAUGAUCCAGCCAUGCCGCGUGUGUGAAGAAGGUCGUCGGAUUGUAAAGCACUUUAAGUUGGGAGGCGUUACCACCAGAAUAAGCACCGGCUACCUUCCUGCCAGCAGCCGCGGUAAUUC
Molecule: ribosomal RNA, 407 nt
Filed under: uncultured bacterium
Lineage: Bacteria
Description: partial 16S ribosomal RNA
Rfam family: Bacterial small subunit ribosomal RNA
Source: RNAcentral